Molecule: non-coding RNA, 99 nt
Organism: Acanthosepion pharaonis
Lineage: Eukaryota; Metazoa; Mollusca; Cephalopoda; Sepiida; Sepiidae
Source: the annotation of a GenBank genome assembly
GAAUUAAAACACCAGCUCCCAUAUGAUCACCAAAGUUAAGCAACUUUAAGCCUAGUCAGUACCUAGAUGGGUGAUUACUUGAGCAUACCAGGUGGUGUA